Molecule: ribosomal RNA, 253 nt
Filed under: uncultured bacterium
Lineage: Bacteria
Description: partial 16S ribosomal RNA
Rfam family: Bacterial small subunit ribosomal RNA
Source: RNAcentral
UACGUAGGGGGCAAGCGUUGUCCGGAUUUAUUGGGCGUAAAGGGCGCGUAGGCGGCCUGGCAAGUGGAAGGUGAAAUCCCUCGGCUUAACCGAGGAACUGCCCUCCAAACUGCUUGGCUUGAGUCCGGGAGAGGUGAGUGGAAUUCCCAGUGUAGCGGUGAAAUGCGUAGAUAUCGGGAGGAACACCUGUGGCGAAAGCGGCUCACUGGACCACAACUGACGCUGAGGCGCGAAAGCUAGGGGAGCAAACAGG